GACGAACGCUGGCGGCGUGCUUAACACAUGCAAGUCGAACGGAAAGGCCCUGCUUUUGUGGGGUGCUCGAGUGGCGAACGGGUGAGUAACACGUGAGUAACCUGCCCUUGACUUUGGGAUAACUUCAGGAAACUGGGGCUAAUACCGGAUAGGAGCUCCUGCUGCAUGGUGGGGGUUGGAAAGUUUCGGCGGUUGGGGAUGGACUCGCGGCUUAUCAGCUUGUUGGUGGGGUAGUGGCUUACCAAGGCUUUGACGGGUAGCCGGCCUGAGAGGGUGACCGGCCACAUUGGGACUGAGAUACGGCCCAGACUCCUACGGGAGGCAGCAGUGGGGAAUAUUGCACAAUGGGCGGAAGCCUGAUGCAGCAACGCCGCGUGCGGGAUGACGGCCUUCGGGUUGUAAACCGCUUUCGCCUGUGACGAAGCGUGAGUGACGGUAAUGGGUAAAGAAGCACCGGCUAACUACGUGCCAGCAGCCGCGGUGAUACGUAGGGUGCGAGCGUUGUCCGGAUUUAUUGGGCGUAAAGGGCUCGUAGGUGGUUGAUCGCGUCGGAAGUGUAAUCUUGGGGCUUAACCCUGAGCGUGCUUUCGAUACGGGUUGACUUGAGGAAGGUAGGGGAGAAUGGAAUUCCUGGUGGAGCGGUGGAAUGCGCAGAUAUCAGGAGGAACACCAGUGGCGAAGGCGGUUCUCUGGGCCUUUCCUGACGCUGAGGAGCGAAAGCGUGGGGAGCGAACAGGCUUAGAUACCCUGGUAGUCCACGCUGUAAACGGUGGGUACUAGGUGUGGGGUCCAUUCCACGGGUUCCGUGCCGUAGCUAACGCUUUAAGUACCCCGCCUGGGGAGUACGGCCGCAAGGCUAAAACUCAAAGGAAUUGAUGGGGCCCCGCACAAGCGGCGGAGCAUGCGGAUUAAUUCGAUGCAACGCGUAGAACCUUACCUGGGUUUGACAUGGAUCGGGAGUGCUCAGAGAUGGGUGUGCCUCUUUUGGGGUCGGUUCACAGGUGGUGCAUGGCUGUCGUCAGCUCGUGUCGUGAGAUGUUGGGUUAAGUUCCGCAACGAGCGCAACCCUUGUUCACUGUUGCCAGCACGUUAUGGUGGGGACUCAGUGGAGACCGCCGGGGUCAACUCGGAGGAAGGUGGGGAUGACGUCAAGUCAUCAUGCCCCUUAUGUCCAGGGCUUCACGCAUGCUACAAUGGCUGGUACAGAGAGUGGCGAGCCUGUGAGGGUGAGCGAAUCUCGGAAAGCCGGUCUCAGUUCGGAUUGGGGUCUGCAACUCGACCUCAUGAAGUCGGAGUCGCUAGUAAUCGCAGAUCAGCAACGCUGCGGUGAAUACGUUCCCGGGGCU
Molecule: ribosomal RNA, 1346 nt
Filed under: uncultured bacterium
Lineage: Bacteria
Description: partial 16S ribosomal RNA
Rfam family: Bacterial small subunit ribosomal RNA
Source: RNAcentral